AUGGCUUGUCUCCAGGUCCUCACCGGAAGCCGCUUGGGGGCAAAACAGUCAGGACUCUGGACUCUUGCUGCUCUCUCUGUGGUCUUGCGAAGUGGCCUGGGCGGAGGGACUCCUAGGGCUCUCAAGGCGCAUGUCCCGAGACGGACUGGGAGAACACUGUCUCCGGUUUGUGAGGUCACCUUAAAAGUAUCAAGCGUCACUUUCCCCACCGUAACAGGUCUCCCUGAUUCAGGUCCAAGAGCACAGUCCCUACCUCUUCAUGGAGAAGUCCGUGUCACACUGCAGGGGACAAGGGCGUGGGAUGUCCUGGCAUGGGCAUUGUGCUUCCCUCAGCUCCUGAGCGUUGUCUGGCCCAUACACUACUGCUUUGGGAGGAAGGGCUCCAAGAAGGACAGAACAGCUCCUGGUGGCCUCCAGCCACUGGCUUUCUAAGGAACCUUUGGCACUGAAAGCUCAGGAAGGUUCUCCAUCUUGUCACUUGGGAAGGCAGCCUUUCUGGGGUGAGUCCCUGGUCUCAGCCAGUGAUGGGCCAGUGGCUGGGUUGAGGAAGGGCACCAUCUACUGAUGUCCCACUCCACCCUCAUCUCCUACAGUGGGCUUAGAGCUUCUGGUUCAUCGCCCCAUGGGGGUGGGGGAGGAACCCGUGCACUCUUGGUCUUGACCCUUAAGCCAAGCCUCUACGUACCAGGACACAGGCAAAAUCCCAGCACACUGCCCAUCACCGGGCAGGCCACCGCAGUUCUGCAAGGCGAGGAAGCAACUCGAGUGGAGAAGAUUCUUUCCAAAAUGCAAGCUGCACUUUCCUGGCAAGUAUCUCCAUGAAAUUGAUUUAUUAAGGAGGACAAUCCCAUGGCACACUUCAUAGCACUCUGGCAGGGCCUUUGCCACAUUACUAUUUCCCCCACUUCCCUUUUCACAUGCUGAUGAGAAAUUUCAAUUUAACUCUCAAAGCAAGAAAGAUCAGUGUCAAUAGGCCUUGCUUUAUCAGGAGGCCUAGCUACAAGCAACAGAGAGCCCCAUGCAACUCGAUGAAGGCCUGAGAAACCAGCAGCCCCUCUUGGGGGCAGCUUCCAUUUGGGGUGGGGCUCAGAUCAGUUAAUCUAAAUGAUUCAGAUAUGUCUCCAAGGAUUCGAGUUACUCAUCAGCUGGAAAAAUAGUGAUACAUGCAGGGUGGCUGUGCUGAGCAGGAAGAACUACUCAUAAAAUUGUUCAUAAUGCAUGAUCCCGCUUAUAUGAAAUUCUGAAACAGGCCAAAUUAAUAUAUAGUGAUAGAAUUUAGAGUAUAUGCACAAGCCCCCAAAUGCAAUCCCAAGUACCACCAAAAAAAGGAAAAAAAAAUCAGAUUAGUUAUUGUCUGGGGCAAGGGACUGUGAGGGACUAUUGCAGAAGGGCAUAAAAGAAGUUUCUGCAGUGAUGAAAUUUUGUAUAAUCCUGAUGGGAUUCAGGCUACCCGGGUGAUUAAUCAAGCUCUUUUGGGUGGUACUAGAUUUGUGUGUUUCACUUACAUAAACUUUAUAUAGAAAAGGAUACAUAUAAAUAAAUAUUGUGUCCUGCUUAGUGAUUUGCUGAAAUGUUUAGAAAUGAAGUUCACCGAUGUCUGCAAGUUAUUUUAAAAGGCAUUAAAAAUCAGACCUAGUAAGACGGAUCGAUAUGUGAUAAAGCAAACAGGGCAAAACGUUCACCACUGUAGGAUUAACGUGUUACAUGUAUGAGGGUUCUCAGUACAAUUCUUUCAAGUUUUCUGGCCGCUUGAACAUUUCCACAGUAAAAAUAGGAACAUGAAGAAAGAUGAAGCCUAAUGAAAAUGAUACAUGUACCUACUUCAAGGUUGAAAUGACUUAAUAAAAUAUCAAGCUGCUUUGGGAUAGAAUUAUCUCAACUCACUAAGUUACCUCAUCUUAUUAAAGGACAAAUUGGGGAGUUACAGAUGUCAUCAAUUAAUUUUUUUAAUAAGAACAUUUUUAAGUGGGAGGUGUCCCUGAGCUGCUUGGCCAUCCCUGUGGAGGAGGUGUGCUCCCAAAUUAGGCUAAUUAAACCCAAGAAAAGAGCCAGCUUCACCAACUAUUUACACCUUUCUGCAACCUCUAGACCAGCAAGAACAUUUUAAUGAAUGCUUGGGAACCUGCCCUUUUCCAAGGCCAUCACCUUCCUAGGUUGAUACUUUCCAUGGAGAAUCUUCCCUCUGAAAAGAGAGAGUGAAAAAAAGAAAAAGCAAUGAUGCUGUUUGAGCCAUCCACUGAAGUUAAAUGGAGAUGAACCAGAAGUAUAUGAAUUAAAUUUCCCCUCCA
RNAcentral lists this long non-coding RNA (2288 nucleotides) under Fukomys damarensis (Damara mole-rat). RNAcentral's name for it is "lncRNA (ENSFDAG00000025294.1)". The record is from RNAcentral. Lineage: Eukaryota; Metazoa; Chordata; Mammalia; Rodentia; Bathyergidae.